RNAcentral lists this ribosomal RNA (409 nucleotides) under Scinax sp. 'x-signatus'. RNAcentral's name for it is "partial 16S ribosomal RNA". It matches the Rfam family "Bacterial large subunit ribosomal RNA", at positions 1967 to 2522 of the family's 2925-position model. Lineage: Eukaryota; Metazoa; Chordata; Amphibia; Anura; Hylidae. The record is from RNAcentral.
CCUUGUUCUUUAAAUCAGGACUAGUAUGAACGGCACCACGAGGGUUAUACUGUCUCCUUUUUCUAAUCAGUGAAACUAAUCUCCCCGUGAAGAAGCGGGGAUAUAACUAUAAGACGAGAAGACCCUAUGGAGCUUCAAAUUUUUAUUUCAACUGCUGCACUCAUAUAAAAGUUCCGACUUCUCACAUUUCACUUAGCAUUAUGACAAUAAAUUUUAGGUUGGGGUGACCGCGGAGAAUAAAAAAACCUCCGCAUUGAAUUAGACUUACUAAGUCUUGAGCCAAGAGCUACGACUCUACGUACUAAAACACUAACAUCCAUUGACCCAAUUACUUGAUCAACGAACCAAGUUACCCUAGGGAUAACAGCGCAAUCCACUUCAAGAGCCCCUAUCAACAAGUGGGUUUACG